AUUAAACGCUGGCGGCAUGCCUUACACAUGCAAGUCGAACGGCAGCACGGGGGCAACCCUGGUGGCGAGUGGCGGACGGGUGAGUAAUACAUCGGAACGUGCCCUGGAGUGGGGGAUAACGUAGCGAAAGUUACGCUAAUACCGCAUAUUCUGUGAGCAGGAAAGCAGGGGAUCGCAAGACCUUGCGCUCUGGGAGCGGCCGAUGUCGGAUUAGCUAGUUGGUGGGGUAAAGGCCUACCAAGGCGACGAUCCGUAGCGGGUCUGAGAGGAUGAUCCGCCACACUGGGACUGAGACACGGCCCAGACUCCUACGGGAGGCAGCAGUGGGGAAUUUUGGACAAUGGGCGAAAGCCUGAUCCAGCCAUGCCGCGUGAGUGAAGAAGGCCUUCGGGUUGUAAAGCUCUUUCGGCGGGGAAGAAAUUGCUUGGGAUAAUACCCUGAGUAGAUGACGGUACCCGAAUAAGAAGCACCGGCUAACUACGUGCCAGCAGCCGCGGUAA
This 500-nucleotide ribosomal RNA is filed under the name uncultured bacterium. Its description in RNAcentral is "bacterial SSU rRNA". It matches the Rfam family "Bacterial small subunit ribosomal RNA", at positions 29 to 523 of the family's 1533-position model. The record is from RNAcentral.